UACGGAGGGUGCAAGCGUUAUCCGGAUUUACUGGGGUUAAAGGGUGCGUAGGUGGGUUGGUAAGUCAGUGGUGAAAUACUUUCGCUUAACGAAGGAACUGCCAUUGAUACUAUCAAUCUUGAAUGUAGUGGAGGUAGGCGGAAUGCGUCAUGUAGCGGUGAAAUGCUUAGAUAUGACGCAGAACACCAAUUGCGAAGGCAGCUUGCUACACUACUAUUGACACUGAGGCACGAAAGCGUGGGGAUCAAACAGG
This 253-nucleotide ribosomal RNA is filed under the name uncultured bacterium. RNAcentral's name for it is "partial 16S ribosomal RNA". It matches the Rfam family "Bacterial small subunit ribosomal RNA", at positions 524 to 776 of the family's 1533-position model. The record is from RNAcentral.